UGCCAGCCGCCGCGGUAAUACGGAGGGUGCAAGCGUUAAUCGGAAUUACUGGGCGUAAAGCGUGUGUAGGCGGUCUGCUAAGUCGGAUGUGAAAGCCCCGGGCUUAACCUGGGAAUUGCAUUCGAUACUGGUAGACUUGAAUUUGGUAGAGGAAAGUGGAAUUCCGGGUGUAGCGGUGAAAUGCGUAGAUAUCCGGAGGAACAUCAGUGGCGAAGGCGGUGCGCUGGGCCUUAACUGACGCUGAGAUGCGAAGGCGUGGGUAGCGAACGGGAUUAGAUA
RNAcentral lists this ribosomal RNA (279 nucleotides) under uncultured bacterium. RNAcentral describes it as "partial 16S ribosomal RNA". It matches the Rfam family "Bacterial small subunit ribosomal RNA", at positions 506 to 784 of the family's 1533-position model. The record is from RNAcentral.